UACGUAGGGGGCAAGCGUUGUCCGGAUUUAUUGGGCGUAAAGAGCUCGUAGGCGGCUUGGCAAGUCGGGUGUGAAAACUCCAGGCUCAACCUGGAGAUGCCACUCGAGACUGCUAUGGCUAGAGUCCGGUAGGGGACCACGGAAUUCCUGGUGUAGCGGUGAAAUGCGCAGAUAUCAGGAGGAACACCGGUGGCGAAGGCGGUGGUCUGGGCCGGCACUGACGCUGAGGCGCGAAAGCCAGGGAGCGAACGGG
Molecule: ribosomal RNA, 253 nt
Filed under: uncultured bacterium
Lineage: Bacteria
Description: partial 16S ribosomal RNA
Rfam family: Bacterial small subunit ribosomal RNA
Source: RNAcentral